UGAUGAGAGAUCACGAAGACACAGAAACACACACACAGAGGACCCGGCCCCCACCUCCCCAAGCUACCUGCAGAUGCAGAAAUAAAGGUUCCUCGAAUGUCAUCCACUGCCCCUUCUUUAGAGUCAAGGCAACCUAAUCCCAGCAAGUAUUUGGGCAAGGGAAGAAGAGUUAUUUGGGGUGGGGGUGGGGAGAUGAGAGAGACCGUUUCCCCCGCAAACAUGUUGUGACAUGUCAUAAGGGUGCCUGUUUUGAUAAACACAUAAUUAGUGCCAGGAUGUAUGAGCAGCUGCGUAAAAAGGCGCAACUUAGAUAAUAGCGGCUGCAGCAGCAGCACACACCCAAGGAGCGGAUUUGCAAAGCUUUUAAAGCGGUCACUAGGGCCCCCAUUGGCUGAAGGGGGCCCAGCCGGAUGGGGGGGGUCAGGCAAAUGGGAGCGUGGAGGGAGGGAGGGAACGCCCUCCCCACGCAGACACCCACCCACAUCCACACAAAGAAAGGGGGGAGCAGCAAGUGAUUCCUAAGGACAGAAGACGCCAUCGUUUUAUACACCUCUUUUUAUUUUGUUUUUCUGUCCAAAAAUGGGGCAAAGGAAGAGACUGGUCAUUCUACGCUGAACAUUAGGUGGUGGUUGUGGGGAGAAAGUCUUAAGUCCUUCCAAGAUUCUCUUGUUCUCUCUCUCUGCCUCCCUUCCGAAAUCAGAGAGGGAACAAUACGAUCUCUCCUUAAUGGAGGUUCUCCCCCCGCUUUAAAUUUCUCCAUUUCCCCCAAACCUCCUCCCCCUGCUCCCCAAACGGAGCUUCCAGUUUCCUGUUGCAAAGGGGCGGCAAGAGGGGUUAAGGAAAGAAAGAGAGAGAGAGAGAAAAAGAGAUCCCCCCACUCGUCUACCCUAGAAACGGAGAAAAAAGGAGGCAGGGAAGACCAUUGCGUCCCAAGCUGCCUUUGUGCUGCCUCUCCGGGAUCGACAGACUAAACAAACCCUUUUCCCGCGCCUCUGCCAUAGCGAGGGCGGGUGAGAGAGAGAGAGAGAGAUCGUGGGGCGAAAGGAUCUUCCGUUCUCCAACUUCGGCUUCCACACAAAGGAUCGGAGGAAUCUCUUCCGCCUCCCUAGCCUCCUCGGCCUCCAGAUCCAGGCGCCGGAGCUGUGCGCCCGGCCGUCGGCUAGAACGCAGAAGUUAAUUUUAUUUUUUUGUAUUUUUACACUGGACUAUUUUCCCCUCGGAAACAGGCAAGCGAAGAGCCGCAGCGCCUCCUUCGUCUUGGCCAGCGAGGGAAGAAGCUCCGGCUCGGAGGGGAGCAGCGGCCUCGGCGGGAGACGAAGCUGCUGCGCUCGGCUGGCUCGGAAGCGAGUCGCCGGCCGGCCAUCUUCGCGGCCUCUUUGCUUUCUUCCCGCGCUGACCCGCGCCCUCUUUUACCCUGGGUUUGGCUGGUUGGGGAAGCCGCCUUGUGCUCACCUUCCUGGGCUCCGAUUUCUCCGAGGAGCAAAAACAAAAGCAAAACAAAAAGAGCCGUAUGUAUGUUGGGGAGGAAGGAGGGCCGGGAGGAGCAGCAACAGCAGGAGGCCUGGGUUUCUACAAACUCGUCCCCCUCGCCAAAGCCGAUCGCUCUCUCCCUAGGAUCGGUGCGGUUUCGCGAUUGGAUCCCAGCCCCCCCCCCCUUUGAAAAGCGCCCCUCUUAAGUGUGUGCGAUCUCUCCCUGCUUGAUCAAAAAGAGAUCAUACUCGGUGAUUGCUAGCAAACUGUGCGCAGAGGCAAAUGCUCCCUCUCCCCCCUUCCAAAUAGCCCCUUUUCACGGUUUAAUUAAAAAAUAAAGAAAUGGGAGAGUUAAGGAGAAAGGUGCCUACGGGAUCCCUGGUCGAUGGAACAAAAUAGACAGUAGCAACCAGCGUUUCCCCUCCGUUUUUCCUAGCAGUGGAUGAGUUUCACCCAUUAAUAGUAUAUGAGCGCACCAGAAAGAGGCAAGGAAACAACGUUUUCACAACAAAAUUCCGACCGGCAAGGAAAUCUGAAAAGGAUCUAGCAAAAGAGGCCUGGGAAUGGGGAGAAGAGAACGCCGGGGAGUUGCAAAAAAAGGCUGUCCGGGUCCGAGGCCUCCUUCCUAAAGCAGUUGCCGCCGCCGCCCCCUCCAGCUGCCGCCGCCUCGCCAACCCGUCCUUUCACUACCUCUUUUGUUAACAGAAAAGUCAAUCCCUUUAAUUAAAAAUCGUUAAAUAAAUCUAUCUCUUUACUAGCACAAAUAUACUUUCUAUACCGAAUUUGCAAAGACAUCGAUAGGUUCUCGCGCGGCGAGGUCCAAAGAUAAUUUGAUUUGAGGAGGAAGAGAAAAGAAAAGAAACAAGGGACUUUAAAAUAUAACAGAUGCACAUCUACAUGCUUUUUGGCCUCUUCAGAAAAACAGAAAUGCUUUUCUUUGUACAGAAACUCCUGGGUGUCUGAGCAAGCCUUUUUUGUCCGAGGCACUAGAUUUCUCAGAUUUCUUCUCACGGCGCAACCCUGCACAUGUUUACUCGGGAGUAAGCGCCCCGGUGCUGCCUAUGGGGGUGCUGAGUAAGGCCCGCACCCGGACGAGGGAGUAAGUCUUAUCGAAAUUACUUGAGAAUAAACAUGCAUCGGAUUAUUGCUCAGUUUCUUACUCUUCGAGCGGGAAACAAAAGCGAGGCCUGAACAAAGCAGAUCGCAGGGAGCCAAGCUUAAAAACGGGCGUAAAGAAAAAGUCCGGUACUUGGGAGUGUGGCAAUUGGGAAGCGAGGUGGGGUUUUUUAUUUUUUAAAAAAAUGCUUUUGCAAGCAACUUUAAAUCGGGGUUUUGAUUAUACAAAGAAAGGGGAGAAGAAGGGCGAUUUGCGUUUCGAUUCAAAGGCUAUCUUUAAAACAUUGCCUGCGAGUCGCGGCCAACGUUUGGAAGGGGGUUCUUCUUUCCUUCCUGCAACAACGUGGAGGCGCCGCGGAUUUUGUUCUAAGCCAAGUCUUUGUAGCUCGGACUGCUGGUACGCUUCAAAAGCAAAAUGUCCCCCUUAUUAAUCUUUUUUAAACGGGGAGCCCUCCUGCCCCCUUCUAAACUGACCACAGUUCUAUGCAAGGGCAUCACAUUAGUUUUAUUGAUGUUGUUUACAAAGUUAACAAAAAAGAGGAGGCGAAGAAAUGUCCAUUUCCACGCAACCUUGCAAAACGGUGUGGGCUAUCUCCUAGCAGCCCGAUUUCAAAAUUAUUAAGAGAUAAGCGAGGUGAUACCGCUACGGGGAACCAACUCGGGUUUUCUAAAAGGAUGUGUGAAGCCCUGUACCUCUUUUUUGUGGGUGCGGGCAUUUUAAGUGGAGGUGUGUGUGUGUAACCCCCCCCACACACAUUUAAACACAAAACCGUAACUUGGGGGCAAUAAAUUGUACACUCUUCCUCAAUGAAUAAAGUUCCUUUACAGCGCCAAAGUAAA
Podarcis muralis (Common wall lizard) is the source of this 3426-nucleotide long non-coding RNA. RefSeq lists it as uncharacterized. The record is from RefSeq and is a predicted model, not a curated record. Lineage: Eukaryota; Metazoa; Chordata; Lepidosauria; Squamata; Lacertidae.